GUGGUUAUAGCUCAGUUGGUAGAGUGCUUGCCUACCAUGCCUGAAACCCUGGGUUCCAUCCCAGCACCACA
This 71-nucleotide transfer RNA is filed under the name Mus musculus (house mouse). It matches the Rfam family "tRNA". Rfam says of the family: Transfer RNA (tRNA) molecules are approximately 80 nucleotides in length. Their secondary structure includes four short double-helical elements and three loops (D, anti-codon, and T loops). The record is from Rfam by way of RNAcentral. Lineage: Eukaryota; Metazoa; Chordata; Mammalia; Rodentia; Muridae.